GAUGAAGAACGUAGCGAAAUGCGAUACUUGGUGUGAAUUGCAGAAUCCCGUGAACCAUCGAGUCUUUGAACGCAAGUUGCGCCCGAAGCCGUCAGGCCGAGGGCACGCCUGCCUGGGCGUCACACGCCGUUGCCCCCCCGCGUCCCGCACCCAACUCUUUGGGAGCGACCGCGGGGCGGGCUGAUGAUGGCCUCCCGUGCGCUCCGCCGCGCGGUUGGCCCAAAUACCGAGUCCCCGGCGACGUGCGCCACGACGAUCGGUGGUUGAGAGACCUCUGUCGCAAGUCGUGCGCGCCCGUCGCGUCACGCGGGCUCGCAUAGCGCCUCGCGCCGCACCCGGUGCGGAGCUUUCAACGCGACCCCAGGUCAGGCGGGGUUACCCGCUGAAUUUAAGCAUAUCAAUAAGCGGAGGA
Molecule: unclassified non-coding RNA, 412 nt
Filed under: soil metagenome
Description: partial contains 5.8S ribosomal RNA, internal transcribed spacer 2, and large subunit ribosomal RNA
Rfam family: 5.8S ribosomal RNA (bases 1-122)
Source: RNAcentral